Molecule: microRNA precursor, 65 nt
Filed under: Tetraodon nigroviridis (spotted green pufferfish)
Lineage: Eukaryota; Metazoa; Chordata; Actinopteri; Tetraodontiformes; Tetraodontidae
Description: Tni-Mir-27-P4b_pre stem-loop
Rfam family: mir-27 microRNA precursor family
Source: RNAcentral
CAGGACUUAGCUCAUUAGUGAGCAUGGGAACCAAUCACAGAUUGUUCACAGUGGCUAAGUUCAGU